This 398-nucleotide long non-coding RNA is filed under the name Macaca nemestrina (pig-tailed macaque). RNAcentral describes it as "lncRNA (ENSMNEG00000045903.1)". The record is from RNAcentral. Lineage: Eukaryota; Metazoa; Chordata; Mammalia; Primates; Cercopithecidae.
GUAUAAUUAUAAUUAUUGGUGAUACAGUCAACAAAUGUAUGCUUAGUUAAUUCUUUAUAUUAAAUUAUUCCUGUUGGGAAAAAAGCUAAAGGAAGAUUUUUUUAAUUGAUCAUGCCAAAAAGUUACAUUGCUUUUUUUUUUUUUUUUUUAAACUAAAGUUAUCUUUAAUCUUUUCCAUGCAGAAAAACCACCUACAAGGACUCCUCAAACUCUCAAUAAACAUAGACUGUUCUCAUAGGACUCAGACUCUCUUGGACAGAAAUCUUUGUCCCCGUGAAAUACUGCCAUGUCGUCCUGAGAGACAAGAUGGAAAUAAACCUUUCCUCACGGGAGAGAGUGAAUGCCAGUUGAGACCUCACGAUAUAAAGACACGGCUGCUCACAAAUGUUCCACUGUGA